RNAcentral lists this non-coding RNA (156 nucleotides) under Kurthia massiliensis. The record is from RNAcentral. Lineage: Bacteria; Bacillati; Bacillota; Bacilli; Caryophanales; Caryophanaceae.
GCAUUAGGUGCUCUAGCAAUAGAGAGAAUAGGGAAUAAAGUGCAAAACUUUAGCGGUCCCGCCACUGUAACAGCGAAUAAGAUGGAAAGAUGCCACUGAUUGAUCGGGAAGGCUUCAUCUUAUGUUGACCUGAAGCCAGGAGACCUGCCUAACGCU